AAAAAAAAAGAGCACACCAUUGCAGAUCAUGCUUGAGGACCUCUGGAAUCGCACCAAACCAUCGCAGAAUUGAUUCAUGGAUGAGGUAAGUACAUAUAAUCCCCCUUCUCAAAUUCCUGACCUAACCUCUAUUGUGGAAAGCUAUGUCAUAGCUCUACAGGAGCGAUGACUUCAGCAGUCUCAACCAUGUAAGAUCUGUGGAUAUGUGGGACAUUUAACGUC
This 222-nucleotide long non-coding RNA is filed under the name Manihot esculenta (cassava). Its description in RNAcentral is "long non-coding RNA (MESC_LNC001738)". The record is from RNAcentral. Lineage: Eukaryota; Viridiplantae; Streptophyta; Magnoliopsida; Malpighiales; Euphorbiaceae.